UCGAGCGGUAGCACAAGAGAGCUUGCUCUCUGGGUGACGAGCGGCGGACGGGUGAGUAAUGUCUGGGAAACUGCCUGAUGGAGGGGGAUAACUACUGGAAACGGUAGCUAAUACCGCAUAACGUCUUCGGACCAAAGUGGGGGACCUUCGGGCCUCACGCCAUCAGAUGUGCCCAGAUGGGAUUAGCUAGUAGGUGGGGUAAUGGCUCACCUAGGCGACGAUCCCUAGCUGGUCUGAGAGGAUGACCAGCCACACUGGAACUGAGACACGGUCCAGACUCCUACGGGAGGCAGCAGUGGGGAAUAUUGCACAAUGGGCGCAAGCCUGAUGCAGCCAUGCCGCGUGUGUGAAGAAGGCCUUCGGGUUGUAAAGCACUUUCAGCGAGGAGGAAGGGUGGUGUGU
RNAcentral lists this ribosomal RNA (402 nucleotides) under uncultured bacterium. RNAcentral describes it as "bacterial SSU rRNA". It matches the Rfam family "Bacterial small subunit ribosomal RNA", at positions 62 to 460 of the family's 1533-position model. The record is from RNAcentral.